AACGAACGCUGGCGGCGUGGAUAAGACAUGCAAGUCGAACGCUGACUUCAGGGUAGCAAUAUUCUGGAGUCGGAGUGGCGCAAGGGUGCGUAACACGUGGGUAAUUUGCCGCGAAGUCUGGGAUAACUUGCUGAAAGGCGAGCUAAUACCGGAUGUGAUGUUUGGGAGCAUCUCCUGAAUCUCAAAGUUGGGACCGUAAGGCCUGACGCUUCACGAUAAGCCCGCGGCCUAUCAGCUAGUUGGUGAGGUAACGGCUCACCAAGGCUAAGACGGGUAGCUGGUCUGAGAGGACGACCAGCCUCAC
RNAcentral lists this ribosomal RNA (304 nucleotides) under uncultured bacterium. RNAcentral describes it as "bacterial SSU rRNA". It matches the Rfam family "Bacterial small subunit ribosomal RNA", at positions 29 to 313 of the family's 1533-position model. The record is from RNAcentral.